AUAUUUUGAAUUAAGUAUAUUCAUAAUAUGUUAUCAGACGAAUGUUGUUAAAGAUAUAGGUUGAUAUUUGUGAAGGGAAAGAGUUGCCUCUCUCCCAACAAACAUUGCACACAAGGUGGAUAUGGAUUUAAAAGGUGCCAUAAAACACUUAUUAUGAAUGAUCCUUCCGCAGGUUCACCUACGGAAA
RNAcentral lists this unclassified non-coding RNA (187 nucleotides) under uncultured fungus. RNAcentral describes it as "sequence contains ITS1, 5.8S rRNA gene". Lineage: Eukaryota; Fungi. The record is from RNAcentral.